GAUGAACGCUGGCGGCGUGCCUAAUACAUGCAAGUCGAGCGAACGGACGAGGAGCUUGCUUCUCUGAUGUUAGCGGCGGACGGGUGAGUAACACGUGGAUAACCUACCUAUAAGACUGGGAUAACGUCGGGAAACCGGAGCUAAUACCGGAUAAUAGUUUGAACCGCAUGGUUCAACAGUGGAAGACGGUCUUGCUGUCACUUAUAGAUGGAUCCGCGCUGCAUUAGCUAGUUGGUAAGGUAACGGCUUACCAAGGCAACGAUGCGUAGCCGACCUGAGAGGGUGAUCGGCCACACUGGAACUGAGACACGGUCCAGACUCCUACGGGAGGCAGCAGUAGGGAAUCUUCCGCAAUGGGCGAAAGCCUGACGGAGCAACGCCGCGUGAGUGAAGAAGGUCUUCGGAUCGUAAAACUCUGUUAUUAGGGAAGAACAUAUGUGUAAGUAACUGUGCACAUCUUGACGGUACCUAAUCAGAAAGCCACGGCUAACUACGUG
RNAcentral lists this ribosomal RNA (497 nucleotides) under uncultured bacterium. Its description in RNAcentral is "partial 16S ribosomal RNA". It matches the Rfam family "Bacterial small subunit ribosomal RNA", at positions 28 to 507 of the family's 1533-position model. The record is from RNAcentral.